Molecule: transfer RNA, 63 nt
Filed under: Dexia fulvifera
Lineage: Eukaryota; Metazoa; Arthropoda; Insecta; Diptera; Tachinidae
Description: tRNA-Glu
Source: RNAcentral
AUUUAUAUAGUUUAACAAAACAUUACAUUUUCACUGUAAAAUUAAUAUAUUUAUUUAUAAAUU